GCUUACGGCCAUACCAGCCUGAAUGCGCCCGAUCUCGUCAGUUCUCGGAAGCUAAGCAGGGUCGGGCCUGGUUAGUACUUGGACGGGAGACUGCCUGGGAAUACCCGGUGCUGUAAGAA
Hucho hucho (huchen) is the source of this 119-nucleotide ribosomal RNA. The record is from Ensembl. NCBI's taxonomy places the organism in Eukaryota, Metazoa, Chordata, Actinopteri, Salmoniformes, Salmonidae.